GUGGGAGUGGAGUAAAGACAGAGAGUGACUUGUCUGGGAUGACUUGAAGGGGUAGAAAGGCUGGACAACAGCCAGAGGAUGUUAUCUUACUUAGCUUACUUUGCUCACUUAGCUCACUUAUCUUACUUUGCUUUCACUUACUUGCUUGCUUCACUAGUGCU
Alosa sapidissima (American shad) is the source of this 161-nucleotide long non-coding RNA. RefSeq lists it as uncharacterized. The record is from RefSeq and is a predicted model, not a curated record. The transcript is spliced from 3 exons. Lineage: Eukaryota; Metazoa; Chordata; Actinopteri; Clupeiformes; Clupeidae.